UACGGAGGAUCCAAGCGUUAUCCGGAUUUAUUGGGUUUAAAGGGUGCGUAGGCGGCCUAUUAAGUCAGGGGUGAAAGACGGUAGCUUAACUAUCGCAGUGCCUUUGAUACUGAUGGGCUUGAAUGAACUAGAGGUAGGCGGAAUGUGACAAGUAGCGGUGAAAUGCAUAGAUAUGUCACAGAACACCAAUUGCGAAGGCAGCUUACUAUGGUUUUAUUGACGCUGAGGCACGAAAGCGUGGGGAGUCAAACAGG
Molecule: ribosomal RNA, 254 nt
Filed under: uncultured bacterium
Lineage: Bacteria
Description: partial 16S ribosomal RNA
Rfam family: Bacterial small subunit ribosomal RNA
Source: RNAcentral